CAGAGGAUAGUUAAUAUAUAAUAGUAGGUUUGGAACUUACAGAAGAGAGAGUCUUCUCUGA
This 61-nucleotide transfer RNA is filed under the name Pseudoniphargus sp. 2-Canaries. RNAcentral describes it as "tRNA-Pro". Lineage: Eukaryota; Metazoa; Arthropoda; Malacostraca; Amphipoda; Allocrangonyctidae. The record is from RNAcentral.